RNAcentral lists this ribosomal RNA (2878 nucleotides) under Acinetobacter baumannii. Its description in RNAcentral is "partial 23S ribosomal RNA". It matches the Rfam family "Bacterial large subunit ribosomal RNA". Lineage: Bacteria; Pseudomonadati; Pseudomonadota; Gammaproteobacteria; Moraxellales; Moraxellaceae. The record is from RNAcentral.
UUCAUGUGGUGGAUGCCUUGGCAGUCAGAGGCGAUGAAAGACGUGAUAGCCUGCGAAAAGCUCCGGGGAGGCGGCAAAUAUCCUUUGAUCCGGAGAUGUCUGAAUGGGGGAACCCACCUACUUUAAGGUAGGUAUUGCAACAUGAAUACAUAGUGUUGCAAGGCGAACGAGGGGAAGUGAAACAUCUCAGUACCCUUAGGAAAAGAAAUCAAUUGAGAUUCCCUCAGUAGCGGCGAGCGAACGGGGAUCAGCCCAUUAAGUUAUGUGUGUUUUAGUGGAACGCUCUGGGAAGUGCGAACGUAGAGGGUGAUAUUCCCGUACACGAAAGGGCACACAUAAUGAUGACGAGUAGGGCGAGGCACGUGAAACCUUGUCUGAAUAUGGGGGGACCAUCCUCCAAGGCUAAAUACUCCUGACUGACCGAUAGUGAACCAGUACCGUGAGGGAAAGGCGAAAAGAACCCCUGUGAGGGGAGUGAAAUAGAUCCUGAAACCGCAUGCAUACAAGCAGUGGGAGCACCUUCGUGGUGUGACUGCGUACCUUUUGUAUAAUGGGUCAGCGACUUAUAUUCAGUAGCGAGGUUAACCGUAUAGGGGAGCCGUAGAGAAAUCGAGUCUUAAUAGGGCGUUUAGUUGCUGGGUAUAGACCCGAAACCAGGCGAUCUAUCCAUGAGCAGGUUGAAGGUUGGGUAACACUAACUGGAGGACCGAACCCACUGUCGUUGAAAAGCCAGGGGAUGACUUGUGGAUAGGGGUGAAAGGCUAAUCAAGCCUGGUGAUAGCUGGUUCUCCCCGAAAGCUAUUUAGGUAGCGCCUCGGACGAAUACCAUAGGGGGUAGAGCACUGUUUCGGCUAGGGGGUCAUCCCGACUUACCAAACCGAUGCAAACUCCGAAUACCUAUGAGUACUAUCCGGGAGACAGACUGCGGGUGCUAACGUCCGUAGUCAAGAGGAAAACAAUCCAGACCGCCAGCUAAGGCCCCAAAAUCAUAGUUAAGUGGGAAACGAUGUGGGAAGGCAUAGACAGCUAGGAGGUUGGCUUAGAAGCAGCCACCCUUUAAAGAAAGCGUAAUAGCUCACUAGUCGAGUCGGCCUGCGCGGAAGAUGUAACGGGGCUAAAACUAUGUGCCGAAGCUGCGGAUGUAUACUUUGUAUACGUGGUAGGGGAGCGUUCUGUAAGCCGAUGAAGGUGUGUUGAGAAGCAUGCUGGAGGUAUCAGAAGUGCGAAUGCUGACGUGAGUAACGACAAAACGGGUGAAAAACCCGUUCGCCGAAAGACCAAGGGUUCCAGUCCAACGUUAAUCGGGGCUGGGUGAGUCGACCCCUAAGGCGAGGCCGAAAGGCGUAGUCGAUGGGAAAAUGGUUAAUAUUCCAUUACUUCUGUGUAAUGCGAUGAGAGGACGGAGAAGGCUAAAUCAGCCUGGCGUUGGUUGUCCAGGUGAAAGGAUGUAGGCAUGUAUCUUAGGCAAAUCCGGGGUACUCUAUGCUGAGAUCUGAUAGCAAGCUGUACUUGUACAGCGAAGUGGUUGAUGCCAUGCUUCCAGGAAAAGUCUCUAAGCUUCAGUUACACAGGAAUCGUACCCGAAACCGACACAGGUGGUCAGGUCGAGUAGACCAAGGCGCUUGAGAGAACUCUGCUGAAGGAACUAGGCAAAAUGGUACCGUAACUUCGGGAGAAGGUACGCUGUUGUUGGUGAUGGAACUCGCUUCCUGAGCUGACGACAGCCGCAGAAACCAGGCCGCUGCAACUGUUUAUUAAAAACAUAGCACUCUGCAAACACGAAAGUGGACGUAUAGGGUGUGAUGCCUGCCCGGUGCUGGAAGGUUAAUUGAUGGGGUUAGCGUAAGCGAAGCUCUUGAUCGAAGCCCCAGUAAACGGCGGCCGUAACUAUAACGGUCCUAAGGUAGCGAAAUUCCUUGUCGGGUAAGUUCCGACCUGCACGAAUGGCAUAAUGAUGGCGGCGCUGUCUCCAGCAGAGGCUCAGUGAAAUCGAAAUCGCUGUGAAGAUGCAGUGUACCCGCGGCUAGACGGAAAGACCCCGUGAACCUUUACUGCAGCUUGACACUGAACUUUGACCUUACUUGUGUAGGAUAGGUGGGAGGCUUUGAAGCUGGAACGCUAGUUCCAGUGGAGCCGUCCUUGAAAUACCACCCUGGUAAUGUUGAGGUUCUAACUCUGUCCCGUGAUCCGGGACGAGGACCGUGUCUGGUGGGUAGUUUGACUGGGGCGGUCUCCUCCUAAAGAGUAACGGAGGAGUACGAAGGUGCGCUCAGCGUGGUCGGAAAUCACGCGUAGAGUAUAAAGGCAAAAGCGCGCUUAACUGCGAGACCCACAAGUCGAGCAGGUACGAAAGUAGGUCUUAGUGAUCCGGUGGUUCUGUAUGGAAGGGCCAUCGCUCAACGGAUAAAAGGUACUCUGGGGAUAACAGGCUGAUACCGCCCAAGAGUUCAUAUCGACGGCGGUGUUUGGCACCUCGAUGUCGGCUCAUCUCAUCCUGGGGCUGAAGCAGGUCCCAAGGGUAUGGCUGUUCGCCAUUUAAAGAGGUACGCGAGCUGGGUUUAGAACGUCGUGAGACAGUUCGGUCCCUAUCUACCGUGGGCGCUGGAAAUUUGAGAGGAUCUGCUCCUAGUACGAGAGGACCAGAGUGGACGAACCUCUGGUGUACCGGUUGUGACGCCAGUCGCAUCGCCGGGUAGCUAUGUUCGGAAGGGAUAACCGCUGAAAGCAUCUAAGCGGGAAGCCUACCUCAAGAUAAGAUUUCCCUAGGACUUUAUGUCCUCUAAAGAGCCGUUCGAGACUAGGACGUUGAUAGGUUGGAUGUGGAAGCAUAGUGAUAUGUGAAGCUGACCAAUACUAAUUGCUCGUGAGGCUUGACUAU